This is a non-coding RNA of Xylaria curta, 137 nucleotides long. NCBI's taxonomy places the organism in Eukaryota, Fungi, Ascomycota, Sordariomycetes, Xylariales, Xylariaceae. The record is from the annotation of a GenBank genome assembly.
UCUCGAUUGGUCUAGUGGUCAGGAUACCUGCUUGUCAUUAACGGUUAGUCCCACCUGCUUGGUGGGGCACUGCAGUCCCGAGUGACUGAGUUCCGAGCAACUCGCAGGUGGCCGGGGUUCGAUUCCCCGAUCGAGAG